AUGAGACUGCUGAAACUAUCUGAAUGCAUUAGUGUCCAAUUAAAUUUAGCUUCCCUGGCCUGCCUCAACAAGGACCCCCGAUUCCGGCCCACAGCCAAGGAGCUCCUGAAGCACAAGUUCAUCACACGCUACACCAAGAAGACCUCCUUCCUUACGGAGCUCAUCGACAGCUAUAAGCGCUGGAAGUCAGAGGGGCAUGGCGAGGAGUCCAGCCCUGAGGACUCUGACAUUGAUGGCGAGGCGGAGGACGGAGAGCAGGGCCCCAUCUGGACGUUCCCCCCUACCAUCCGGCCGAGUCCACACAGCAAGCUUCACAAGGGGACGGCCCUGCACGGCUCACAGAAGACUGCGGAGCCUGUCAAGAGGCAGCCGAGAUCCCAGUGCCUGUCCACGCUGGUCCGGCCCGUCUUCGGAGAGCUCAAAGAGAAGCACAAGCAGAGCGGCAGGAGCGUGGGUGCACUGGAGGAGCUGGAGAACGCCUUCAGCCUGGCGGAGGAGUCCUGCCCCGGCAUCUCAGACAAGCUGAUGGUGCACCUGGUGGAGCGAGUGCAGAGGUUUUCACACAACAGAAACCACCUGACAUCCACCCGCUGAAGCGCGCUGCUGUUCAGAUAGGGGACAGAAGGUCUUUUGUUUUUGUUCUGAACUCCAUAAGAACUGUGCUGACUUGGAAGGUGCCCUGUGCUGUGUCGUGCCUGCAGGGACACAUCAGAUCCUGUGGGCCUCACAUGCCAGGUCACCAGGUCACCGUCUCCUUCCACCCCGGCAGUGUGCUGUUCUGCACAUCGGGGACGCUGUUCUAUAUGCCCACUGCCCUCCUCCCUCUCCUGGCCCAGCAGUAGAGCUCAUGGGGGCUCCAGCAGCUGGCGUGGCCCUCGUGAGCUAUGCCUGGGUCUUCUGCAGACUCACGCAGCCCUAUGGCCGCUCAGACCAAGGCGCAGAGCAACUAUCAGGGCAGCUCUGCCUCCUCCUCCCAUGAGGUGGGGAGAGGCAACAGGGCAGCCCCCAGAGAAAUGUCCUGGCCGCUGUCCUCCCAGGGCCCAUGAUGACCAUAGAUUUGCCUUGUGGUGUUGGAUCAGGUACUGUUUCUGCUCAUAAGUACUUGUGUCAUCCAGAAUGUUUUGUUUUUUAAGAAAAUUGAAUUUACUUGUUUCCUGAAAUAUUCUGAGGUUAAUAUGUUAGUUUUCAUAGAACAUUGAGAGGCCCCUGCCACUUUCAAUAAAGACCUGACUUGGAAAAAA
Molecule: RNA transcript, 1241 nt
Organism: Nomascus leucogenys (northern white-cheeked gibbon)
Lineage: Eukaryota; Metazoa; Chordata; Mammalia; Primates; Hylobatidae
Gene name: serine/threonine-protein kinase 25 pseudogene
Exons: 1
Source: RefSeq, a predicted model, not a curated record